This 447-nucleotide ribosomal RNA is filed under the name uncultured bacterium. RNAcentral's name for it is "partial 16S rRNA". The record is from RNAcentral.
GCACGGAGUUAGCCGGUGCUUUCUUGCGAGGUACCGUCAUUUUUUUCUUCCCUCCCGACAGGGCUUUACAACCCGAAGGCCUUCUUCACCCACGCGGCAUGGCUGGAUCAGGCUUUCGCCCAUUGUCCAAUAUUCCCCACUGCUGCCUCCCGUAGGAGUCUGGGCCGUGUCUCAGUCCCAGUGUGGCUGAUCGUCCUCUCAGACCAGCUACCGAUCGUACCCUUGGUGAGCCGUUACCUCACCAACUAGGAUUAAAUAAUCGGCCGCGGGCCGUUCCAAAGGCGCCCGAAGGCUUUUAGCCGUAGCCAUAUGCGGUAUUAGCCCGAGUUUCCUCGGGUUAUCCCCCACCUCAGGGUACGUGACCCACGUGUUACUCACCCGUUCGCCACUCGUGCCCGAAGGCACGCGUUCGACUUGCAUGUGUUAAGCCUGCCGCCAGCGUUCGCU